CCUACGUGAGGCAGCAGUGGGGAAUAUUGCACAAUGGGGUAAACCCUGAUGCAGCGACGCCGCGUGAAGGAAGAAGUAUUUCGGUAUGUAAACUUCUAUCAGCAGGGAAGAAAAUGACGGUACCUGACUAAGAAGCCCCGGCUAACUACGUUCCAGCAGCCGCGGUAAUACGUAGGGGGCACGCGUUAUCCGGAUUUACUGGGUGUAAAGGGAGCGUAGGCGGUGUUGCAAGUCUGGAGUGAAAGCCCGUAGCUGAAACGCCGGACUGCUUUUUAAACUGUAUGGCUAGAGUGCAGGAGAGGUAAGUGGAAUUCCUAGUGUAGCGGUGAAAGGCGGAGAGAUUAGGAGGAACACCAGUGGCGAAGGCGGCUUACUGGACUGUAAAUGACGCUGAGGCUCGAAAGCGUGGGGAGCAAACAGGAUUAGAGACCCGUGGAGUC
This 440-nucleotide ribosomal RNA is filed under the name uncultured bacterium. RNAcentral's name for it is "partial 16S ribosomal RNA". It matches the Rfam family "Bacterial small subunit ribosomal RNA", at positions 338 to 795 of the family's 1533-position model. The record is from RNAcentral.